GGCUCAGAACGAACGCUGGCGGCGUGCUUAACACAUAGCAAGUCGAAACGCAAAGGGGACUUCGGGUCCUGAGUAAAGUGGCGCACGGGUGAGUAACGCGUAGAUAACCUGUCUUCAUGUCUGGAAUAAUACGCCGAAAGGGGUACUAAUACCGGAUAUUCUUGCUUUUCAUAAGUUAUGCAAGCAAAGGUGGCCUCUGCAUAUGCUACUGCAUGAAGAGGGGUCUGCGUACCAUUAGCUAGUAGGUGGGGUAAUGGCCUACCUAGGCGACGAUGGUUAGCGGGUCUGAGAGGAUGAUCCGCCACACUGGCACUGGAACACGGGCCAGACUCCUACGGGAGGCAGCAGUGAGGAAUAUUGCGCAAUGGGGGAAACCCUGACGCAGCGACGCCGCGUGAGUGAGGAAGGCCUUCGGGUCGUAAAGCUCUGUCAAGAGGAAAGAAGUGUACAAUGGCUAAUACCUGUUGUAUUUGACGGUACCUCUAAAGGAAGCACCGGCUAACUCCGUGCCAGCCGCCGC
This 520-nucleotide ribosomal RNA is filed under the name uncultured bacterium. Its description in RNAcentral is "bacterial SSU rRNA". It matches the Rfam family "Bacterial small subunit ribosomal RNA", at positions 21 to 518 of the family's 1533-position model. The record is from RNAcentral.